UAAUUCUGGUUCUCUUCAGAUCUCUGAAGUUAAGGAACGUUGAACAUGGUCAGUACUUAGAUGGGUGGCCACUCGGAAAUUUCAGGUACUGUAAG
This is a non-coding RNA of Acanthosepion pharaonis, 95 nucleotides long. Lineage: Eukaryota; Metazoa; Mollusca; Cephalopoda; Sepiida; Sepiidae. The record is from the annotation of a GenBank genome assembly.